RNAcentral lists this small RNA (444 nucleotides) under Pan troglodytes (chimpanzee). RNAcentral's name for it is "processed transcript". Lineage: Eukaryota; Metazoa; Chordata; Mammalia; Primates; Hominidae. The record is from RNAcentral.
GGUAGCAAUGCCACUUUCAGGAUACUAGAGGUUGGUUGUGGAGCUGGAAAUAGUGUGUUUCCAAUUUUGAACACUUUGCAGGGAAGUCCACAGUAUGUUCUGCAAAGCCAGUUUAGAUGAAAAGCAAAAUCUGGUUGAUCGCCGCUUACAAGUUAAUAGGAAAAAACAAGUGAAAAUGCACCGAGUGUGGAUUCAAGGCAAAUUCCAGAAACCAUUGCACCAGACUCAGAAUAGCUCCGAUAUGGUAUCUACACUCCUUUCACAAGACUGAACUUUGUAACAUGUUAAGGUACAAAGCCAGAGGACUGUGCUAUUCAAGGACUACUGUAAGUCUAUCGUUUCUCAAAAGACAAUGAGAAAAAAGAAGAGAAUUUGUAUUUCCUGCCGUUUUGUCAUAGGUGAGCUCCUUUGUGCAUUUUAAGCACAUGUAAGUGGUUCGGCACA